ACAGUGGACGCGAGCAUCUGUGGCCAAGUUUUUAAGGGCGCACGGUGGAUGCCUUGGCACCAGGAACCGAUGAAGGACGUGGGAGGCCACGAUAGGCCCCGGGGAGUCGUCAACCAGGCUUUGAUCCGGGGGUGUCCGAAUGGGGAAACCCGGCAGUCGUCAUGGGCUGUCACCCGCUGCUGAACACAUAGGCAGUGUGGAGGGAACGCGGGGAAGUGAAACAUCUCAGUACCCGCAGGAAGAGAAAACAACCGUGAUUCCGGGAGUAGUGGCGAGCGAAACCGGAUGAGGCCAAACCGUAUGCGUGUGAGACCCGGCAGGGGUUGCGUAUACGGGGUUGUGGGAUCUCUCUUUYAUGGUCUGCCGGCCRUGAGACGAGUCAGAAACCGUUGAUGUAGGCGAAGGACAUGCGAAAGGUCCGGCGUAGAGGGUAAGACCCCCGUAGUCGAAACAUCAGCGGCUCGUUUGAGAGACACCCAAGUAGCACGGGGCCCGAGAAAUCCCGUGUGAAUCUGGCGGGACCACCCGCUAAGCCUAAAUAUUCCCUGGUGACCGAUAGCGGAUAGUACCGUGAGGGAAUGGUGAAAAGUACCGCGGGAGCGGAGUGAAAUAGUACCUGAAACCGUGUGCCUACAAGCCGUGGGAGCGUCGGGCAAGCACUUGUGUUUGCCUCGUGACUGCGUGCCUUUUGAAGAAUGAGCCUGCGAGUUUGCGGUGUGUUGCGAGGUUAACCCGUGUGGGGAAGCCGUAGCGAAAGCGAGUCCGAAUAGGGCGGUGGAGUAGCACGCUCAAGACCCGAAGCGGAGUGAUCUAGCCAUGGGCAGGUUGAAGCGGAGGUAAGACUUCGUGGAGGACCGAACCCACCAGGGUUGAAAACCUGGGGGAUGACCUGUGGUUAGGGGUGAAAGGCCAAUCAAACUCCGUGAUAGCUGGUUCUCCCCGAAAUGCAUUUAGGUGCAGCGUCGUGUGUUUCUUGCCGGAGGUAGAGCACUGGAUAGGCGAUGGGCCCUACCGGGUUACUGACCUUAGCCAAACUCCGAAUGCCGGUAAGUGAGAGCGCGGCAGUGAGACUGUGGGGGAUAAGCUCCAUGGUCGAGAGGGAAACAGCCCAGAGCAUCGACUAAGGCCCCUAAGCGUACGCUAAGUGGGAAAGGAUGUGGAGUCGCACAGACAACCAGGAGGUUGGCUUAGAAGCAGCCACCCUUGAAAGAGUGCGUAAUAGCUCACUGGUCUAGUGAUUCCGCGCCGACAAUGUAGCGGGGCUCAAGCGUACCGCCGAAGUCGUGUCAUUCACACAAUAGGGCCAACGCCUGUGUGGAUGGGUAGGGGAGCGUCGUGUGCCGGGUGAAGCAGCCGUGUAAGCGAGUUGUGGACGGUUCACGAGUGAGAAUGCAGGCAUGAGUAGCGAUACACACGUGAGAAACGUGUGCGCCGAUUGACUAAGGGUUCCUGGGUCAAGCUGAUCUGCCCAGGGUAAGUCGGGACCUAAGGCGAGGCCGACAGGCGUAGUCGAUGGAUAACCGGUUGAUAUUCCGGUACCCGCUGUGAAGCGUCAAACAU
This 1560-nucleotide ribosomal RNA is filed under the name Streptomyces swartbergensis. RNAcentral describes it as "bacterial LSU rRNA". It matches the Rfam family "Bacterial large subunit ribosomal RNA", at positions 1 to 1466 of the family's 2925-position model. The record is from RNAcentral. Lineage: Bacteria; Bacillati; Actinomycetota; Actinomycetes; Kitasatosporales; Streptomycetaceae.